UACGUAGGGUGCAAGCGUUGUCCGGAAUUAUUGGGUUUAAAGGGUGCGUAGGCGGCUUUGUAAGUCAGUGGUGAAAUAUGGCAGCUUAACUGUCAGGGUGCCAUUGAUACUGCAGAGCUUGAGUACAGAUGAGGUAGGCGGAAUUGACGGUGUAGCGGUGAAAUGCUUAGAUAUCGUCAAGAACACCUAUAGCGAAGGCAGCUUACUAGGCUGUAACUGACGCUGAGGCACGAAAGUGUGGGGAUCAAACAGG
This 253-nucleotide ribosomal RNA is filed under the name uncultured bacterium. Its description in RNAcentral is "partial 16S ribosomal RNA". It matches the Rfam family "Bacterial small subunit ribosomal RNA", at positions 524 to 776 of the family's 1533-position model. The record is from RNAcentral.